Pangasianodon hypophthalmus (striped catfish) is the source of this 1942-nucleotide RNA transcript. It is a transcript of the gene named CD276 antigen homolog, with no coding region annotated. The record is from RefSeq and is a predicted model, not a curated record. The transcript is spliced from 8 exons. NCBI's taxonomy places the organism in Eukaryota, Metazoa, Chordata, Actinopteri, Siluriformes, Pangasiidae.
CCUUCUUCUUCCAAGGCCUCCUCUCUGCAGAAGCUGAGAUCACUGUAUCUGACACUUACUGAUGCAGGUGUCUACACGAGCUACCAGACAGUGAGACGCUCCAAGAGCUCUGCCUCUGUCAAGACAAAAAGAGAAGAGAUCAGCCGUGUUAAUCUCUCAGUCCAGGGCAUGGAAUUCACCAGAGCUGCACAGAUUGUUGCUGGGAUCCUCUUCCACUCCUCCAUAAUGACAUCACGGAGCUGCUGGAUGUUAGGCACAUGGCGCUUCUCCACCUUCCUCUUGAGGAUGCCCCACAGGCUGCAUUGGUUAAGCUUAUGGGGCUGUUACGUGAUGAACGAAUCGUUCAAGAAUGACCAGCGGAGAGUAAGAGGGUGUUUACAGAUUUCUUUCCUGCUGUUCUAAAGGAAAUUUCCACACACUCCUCCAGACAGUAUCAGGGCAUCAUGACCUCCGUUUUUUCCAUUUGCAUCGUAUUGGGCUCCAUGUGUGUGUGCCUCCUCUCUGCAGAAUCUGAGAUCACUGUAUCUGGCCAAGUGGGGUCUACAGCUGUCCUGCCGUGUGAACUGCAGCGUGUAGGCACUGAAACACCGUAUAUUAGGUGGCGCAUCGAAUCUGAGAUUGUGUUUGAGCGAUCGGGUGAGGAGAGCGAUCAGGGUGAGGGAUAUGAGGACCGUGUGGACGUCCCUGAAGAAGAGCUGCGUAAGGGGAACUGUUCCUUAGUGUUGCGCAAUCUGUCACUUACUGAUGCAGGUGUCUACACGAGCUACCAGAUAGUGAGACACACCGAGAGAUCUGCCAUUCCAAAAACAGAAGAGAUUAGCCGUGUUAAUCUCUCAGUCUAUGAAAAACCUCCUGAAAAGAGAACUGAAAUUCCCACAGAUGAUGCAGGAAUGAAGUGUCCUCACCCACCGAUCAUGGUCUUGUCCCUCAUAUCAUGUUUACUCCUCCAGUUCUUCUUUGCGUAAACCUGAGUGUGAAUUAGUGGUGCACAGGACUGUCUUUAUGCCUCCAGCACCACGUGGUGGAAGUGUUAUGUUUUUGGGUUGCGUUGUUGCGCCUGUCACUCUGUGUGUUACCUUUCAGAAGGUCAGAGCCAAAGCAUAUAGGGAGGGUCAGACAAAGAUCAAUCCUAAUGACCCCCAUAAAGGGUACAGGAAAGAGAGAAAAGAAAUGUACCCUGUCCACUUUAGGGUUACAGGAACCCAGCCCUGGAGCCAGGCCACAGGCAAGCGUCUGGUGACUGGGCCCCCCACAUAACCCAGUCGCUCUCAUCCUGAAAUGCUGAUGUGGAGCCAUUAUGUGGCAUUAGUUUUACGUCUGACUUACAACUCUGACUGGAGAUUCCUUCCAUAAAUAUUAAGAAGUUACAGCAGAUGUAAAAACAUUUGAUGCUUGUGAGUUUUUUGCUGGAUGCCACUGGAGCCCAGUCGUGAUGCACAGCUCUAAUGUGACUUGUUUAUUGUGACCUGUGGGAACAGUAGGAUGCCAUUUCAGACAUGGAAAAAGUGUACAUAGCUAAGGCCAAAUCCCAAAUAGCUUCCUACUCUUUACAUAGCUGCACAACAAUGAGUUGUACACAAACACAAAUAUAUUUAGACCAGUUUUAAACAUAACUGGAAGAUAUAAGAAUGUAUAUUGAAUCUAUCUUCUGUACUGCUUAAUAAGGUGUAGUGACACAAGUUACAUUUUUGUUGCAGAUGGUUUGAUGAUAUUGCUUUUGGCAGUGCUGUCCGACAGCUACAUAGACGCUUAAUUUCAUUAACUUCAUUACACAAGCUAACCUGUUAGAAGUUUUCCUACAUCACAGUUGAAGUAUUAUUCUCAGGGUUUGCUGUUAAACUGCAAUGACUGUAAGUGAUAUCCAUGACUGUAAGUGUUAUUGUUACUGAUGCUGUAUAUAAUCACUUUUGCUAAUAAAGGCACUUUGCUGAACAAUUUAUAA